GAUGAACGCUGGCGGCGUGCUUAACACAUGCAAGUCGAACGGAAAGGCCCAAGCUUGCUUGGGUGCUCGAGUGGCGAACGGGUGAGUAACACGUGGGUGAUCUGCCCUGCACUUUGGGAUAAGCCUGGGAAACUGGGUCUAAUACCGGAUAGGACUAUCGUUUAGUGUCGGUGGUGGAAAGUUUUUCGGUGUGGGAUGAGCUCGCGGCCUAUCAGCUUGUUGGUGGGGUAAUGGCCUACCAAGGCGUCGACGGGUAGCCGGCCUGAGAGGGGGUACGGCCACAUUGGGACUGAGAUACGGCCCAGACUCCGACGGGAGGCAGCAGUGGGGAAUAUUGCACAAUGGGCGCAAGCCUGAUGCAGCGACGCCGCGUGGAGGAUGACGGCCUUCGGGUUGUAAACUCCUUUCGCCAAGGACGAAGCGUUUUGUGACGGUACUUGGAGAAGAAGCACCGGCUAACUACGUG
RNAcentral lists this ribosomal RNA (466 nucleotides) under uncultured bacterium. RNAcentral describes it as "partial 16S ribosomal RNA". It matches the Rfam family "Bacterial small subunit ribosomal RNA", at positions 28 to 507 of the family's 1533-position model. The record is from RNAcentral.